CGCCAAGUCAGCAUGGCCCUUACGUCCUGGGCUACACACACGCUACAAUGGCCGGUACAACGGGUUGCCAAACCGCGAGGUGGAGCUAAUCCCUUAAAGCCGGUCUCAGUUCGGAUUGCAGGCUGCAACUCGCCUGCAUGAAGCCGGAGUUGCUAGUAACCGCAGGUCAGCAUACUGCGGUGAAUAUGUUCCCGGGCCUU
Molecule: ribosomal RNA, 200 nt
Filed under: uncultured organism
Description: partial small subunit ribosomal RNA
Rfam family: Bacterial small subunit ribosomal RNA
Source: RNAcentral